This is a long non-coding RNA of Oncorhynchus keta (chum salmon), 690 nucleotides long. RefSeq lists it as uncharacterized. The record is from RefSeq and is a predicted model, not a curated record. NCBI's taxonomy places the organism in Eukaryota, Metazoa, Chordata, Actinopteri, Salmoniformes, Salmonidae. The transcript has 3 exons.
CAGAUGGUUUAUACCUAUCCAAUCAGAGAGUGGGUGGAGCUAUUACCAGAUGGUUUAUACCUAUCCAAUCAGAGAGUGAGUGGAGCUAUUACCAGAUGGUUUAUACCUAUCCAAUCAGAGAGUGGGGUGGAGCUAUUAGCAGAUGAUUUAUACCUAUCCAAUCAGAGAGUGGGGUGAUUUAUACCUAUCCAAUCAGAGAGUGGGGUGAAGGGAUUUAUACCUAUCCAAUCCCUUCAGACCUCUAGUGUCCAGCCCUGUUCCUGGAGAGACACCCUCCUGUCUGUUUUAUCUCCAACCCUGUUCCUGGAGAGAUACCCUCCUGUAGGUUUUAUCUCCAACCCUGUUCCUGGAGAGAUACCCUCCUGUAUGUUUUAUCUCCAACCCUGUUCCUGGAGAGAUACCCUCCUGUAGGUUUUAUCUCCAACCCUGUUCCUGGAGAGAUACCCUCCUGUAUGUUUUAUCUCCAACCCUGUUCCUGGAGAGAUACCCUCCUGUAGGUUUUAUCUCCAACCCUGUUCCUGGAGAGAUACCCUCCUGUAGGUUUUAUCUCCAACCCUGUUCCUGGAGAGAUACCCUCCUGUAUGUUUUAUCUCCAACCCUGUUCCUGGAGAGAUACCCUCCUGUAGGUUUUAUCUCCAACCCUGUUCCUGGAGAGACACCCUCCUGUAGGUUUUAUCUCCAACCCUGUUC